UGCUGACAAAGAAAGAAAUGAAGGAAGAGAACAGAAAGGAAAUGAACGCAAAGAGAAAAUUGUUGAAUCAACAAGGAAAGCAGUUGAAGUUUACAAUUCCAUUAUGUAUUCUCUUUUGAGAAUAUGAAAAAUCAUAAGUUCAAAGAGUUCAGAGAACAACUCAAAUCUUCCAGCAGAUUCUUUGUCGGAUCGAAUAAAGUUAUGCAAGUUUCGUUGGGUCGAUCUGUUUCCGGUGAAAUUAGACCUGGUCUUCAUAAAGUUUCUAAGGUAUUGGUACUCUUGGAGGCGGCGUUUCUGUUGAUAAUAGUGGAAUUCAUGAAAU
This is a long non-coding RNA of Papaver somniferum (opium poppy), 322 nucleotides long. RefSeq lists it as uncharacterized. The record is from RefSeq and is a predicted model, not a curated record. NCBI's taxonomy places the organism in Eukaryota, Viridiplantae, Streptophyta, Magnoliopsida, Ranunculales, Papaveraceae. The transcript is spliced from 3 exons.